Molecule: long non-coding RNA, 958 nt
Organism: Cercocebus atys (sooty mangabey)
Lineage: Eukaryota; Metazoa; Chordata; Mammalia; Primates; Cercopithecidae
Exons: 2
Source: RefSeq, a predicted model, not a curated record
AAAAGAUCUAACAUGUGGAACAUGAGAGAAAUGAAAAAGAUUGAAUUCCGUUCCAAAUGGGGUUUUGAAUUUAUUUUCGCACUUCCUAUUUUUUUGAGCCCAAGAAUGCAAGAUGUAAGCUAAGAAAAGAUAAGUGAAAGUAUUGCUCUAACAUUCUGGAUUCCUUCUAUUAGAGAAGAAUGCAAAUCUUUGCCUUAUCUCAGUGAUGGGCCCCACUUAACCCUUUGUCUUACUGAGAGCACUUUUCUGCAGAUGAUCAAGUGGAAUUUACUGUGAUGGCGUGUCAAAUCUUGAAAUAAUCUACCUUUCAAGAAAAAAGAGUUUAACCAGAUGAUUGUACCUUUUAGCCAUAUCUACAAUUAAUUUGAAUGUAUUGUAAGCUGUUUAAAAUAUUCCAUUAAGGAAGAAGUGAAUUCCUUCCCGCACAGAAGAGAAAAGUACUCGUCUAAUAUAUAAUUUCAGGCAUAAGGAGAAGGUGAUAUUGCAUUGCAAAUAAUAGCAGUUAGUGGGAGCUGAGAGCCAACUCUGCACCAGACUCGUAUCAGCCACUUGACUUCCAUUAUUCCUUAUUCCUUGGUACGUCUGCGCCACCUGUGAUAUCAGAUCCUUUUUACUGCAAGGAAACUGAGGCUGGGCGAUGCUAAGAAACUCAGCCAGGGUCAAUCGGCUGUCAAGUGGCAUUGCCAGGAUCCAGAUGGAGGACCAUCUGACUCCAAAGCCACCUGACUCUUUCCCAUAUACCACAGUUUCUAAUACGAUAUUACACCCAGCUUUAAUAUGAGCACACCUCGUGGAUGAUGCUAUCUAUAAAUUAAUUACCUCCCCACCGCGCCACAUCAAGUAUAAUGGAUGUAAUAUGAUUUUUCAGAAUUCAGCUAAGUACCCACUGAGCUUUACAUUUUGUAACUUUUUAGACUGUACAUCAAAAUGUCUUUUGGAUUAAAACUUUUUUUUCAUA